GAUGAACGCUGGCGGCGUGCCUAAUACAUGCAAGUCGAGCGAACAGACGAGGAGCUUGCUCCUUUGACGUUAGCGGCGGACGGGUGAGUAACACGUAGGUAACCUACCUAUAAGACUGGGAUAACUUCGGGAAACCGGAGCUAAUACCGGAUAAUAUUUCUAACCGCAUGGUUCGAUAGUGAAAGAUGGCUUUGCUAUCACUUAUAGAUGGACCUGCGCCGUAUUAGCUAGUUGGUAAGGUAACGGCUUACCAAGGCAACGAUACGUAGCCGACCUGAGAGGGUGAUCGGCCACACUGGAACUGAGACACGGUCAAGACUCCUACGGGAGGCAGCAGUAGGGAAUCUUCCGCAAUGGGCGAAAGCCUGACGGAGAAACGCCGCGUGAGUGAUGAAGGUCUUCGGAUCGUAAAACUCUGUUAUUAGGGAAGAACAAACGUGUAAGUAACUGUGCACGUCUUGACGGUACCUAAUCAGAAAGCCACGGCUAACUACGUG
RNAcentral lists this ribosomal RNA (497 nucleotides) under uncultured bacterium. RNAcentral's name for it is "partial 16S ribosomal RNA". It matches the Rfam family "Bacterial small subunit ribosomal RNA", at positions 28 to 507 of the family's 1533-position model. The record is from RNAcentral.